UCUUGCAUUGUUCGGUUUGGUAUAAUUUUUCAUUUCAUUUCCAUAAAGGCUCUCAACAUUAGUUAAACUAUAGCACACAUUUGCAUUAAAAACUCAAUCACCAAACCUGCAAUUAUUAGUCUAAUAUAUGGAAUUAACAAACACAACUUUAAUUAAUUACAAAUUAAACACCUCUAUUAACCAUCUCUAUGAAAUGUUGAUACGAUUCCUGGCGCUGAAGCCUUAUUUCAUUAUUGAACUUGUUAAUGAAAGCCUCUAUUCGCCGAUUCAACUCGUCCUGACUCAUCGAUUUCUCUUCCUUUAGUGACGCUCUCUCACCGAACGUCUCCGACUUUCUCAGCUGUCGCCAAGCCCAUGCAACCGGAUCCAUAUCAUCAUCAUCAUCGAUGGUAGCAGCAGCAUCCGCCGCUGCUCCUGUUGCCACCAACACCCGAGGGGCUGUGUACCACGUCUCACUUUUCUUUAGCUGCCGUGACUGCAUCUUCCUUUUCCCUUCCAUGAUUAUCUUCCACAUUUCCUCCAUCGUGUCCUCUGCUGCUUCUUCUGGAAGUUCAAUUGUCGUCGUCGUCAUGGUAGUCUCUUUUUCCAUCCGCAGUGGUUUACCAGAAUCUGUCAGGCCAGAGUCACAGGAGCUACAGGGCUCUGGAGAUGGAUUAAUGGUUUUCGCAAAGUGCACUGGUUUUACAUCUUCUUCAUCAACGUCGAUGUAUUGCCAGAGAUUGCCUAGACUUUUCUCUGUAGAUAGAAACUGGGUUCUUGUAGAGGAUGGUUUGGUGUCCCUGUCGUUUUUGUACUGAAGUGUAGAGGAAGCAGCAAUGGUUAUGAUAAUGAAGUUGAGAAUGAUAUAGAUG
This 851-nucleotide unclassified non-coding RNA is filed under the name Hevea brasiliensis (rubber tree). Lineage: Eukaryota; Viridiplantae; Streptophyta; Magnoliopsida; Malpighiales; Euphorbiaceae. The record is from RNAcentral.